Molecule: ribosomal RNA, 465 nt
Filed under: uncultured bacterium
Lineage: Bacteria
Description: partial 16S ribosomal RNA
Rfam family: Bacterial small subunit ribosomal RNA
Source: RNAcentral
GAUGAACGCUGGCGGCGUGCUUAACACAUGCCAGUCGAACGGAAAGGCUCCUGCUUGCCGGGGUACUCGAGUGGCGAACGGGUGAGUAACACGUGGGUGAUCUGCCCUGCACUUCGGGAUAAGCUUGGGAAACUGGGUCUAAUACCGGAUAGGACCGCAUUUUGGAUGGUGUGGUGGAAAGUUUUUUCGGUGUGGGAUGAGCUCGCGGCCUAUCAGCUUGUUGGUGGGGUAAUGGCCUACCAAGGCGUCGACGGGUAGCCGGCCUGAGAGGGUGUACGGCCACAUUGGGACUGAGAUACGGCCCAGACUCCUACGGGAGGCAGCAGUGGGGAAUAUUGCACAAUGGGCGCAAGCCUGAUGCAGCGACGCCGCGUGGGGGAUGACGGCCUUCGGGUUGUAAACUCCUUUCGCUAGGGACGAAGAGUAAUUGACGGUACCUGGAGAAGAAGCACCGGCGAACUACGU